GAAAAUGAAGGCUGCUACAAUUGUUUUCUUUCUCUUGUUCUUAAAAGGAGUAAUGUCUUAUAAUAUUAGAGAAAAAAGACAAUAUGUGAAUGUCCCUGCACUACCUGGUCCAAAUCCUCCGAAAAGUUCGAGCAAUUCAGCAAAUAGUUCACCUUACUCAG
Centruroides sculpturatus (bark scorpion) is the source of this 161-nucleotide long non-coding RNA. RefSeq lists it as uncharacterized. The record is from RefSeq and is a predicted model, not a curated record. The transcript has 3 exons. NCBI's taxonomy places the organism in Eukaryota, Metazoa, Arthropoda, Arachnida, Scorpiones, Buthidae.